AUUGUGUUCUUGUGGUCUAAAAUCAGCAUUUUGCGAGCAGUCAUUUUCCCCAUCACUGUCGCUCGACAUGUCCGAAAUAUCACUUCCAUUUUCAACGCUAUUUUUGCCAGUACGCAGUCGUUUGGAUGCAGUUUGUCCUGCUUCGCUACCAGCUCGCUUCUUUGACAUUAUCUAAGCUUUUUCACAGCGAUAAUAUUGACCAAAAAACGAAAAUAAAGCAAAAAUUUUGCUCCAGUUUAAAUGGUAUUUGUUGCACAUGUACUCGCGGGAAAACGCGUGAAUUUUAAAAUUGGACCCAG
This 299-nucleotide long non-coding RNA is filed under the name Paramuricea clavata. Lineage: Eukaryota; Metazoa; Cnidaria; Anthozoa; Malacalcyonacea; Plexauridae. The record is from RNAcentral.